RNAcentral lists this non-coding RNA (94 nucleotides) under Agrobacterium genomosp. 5 str. CFBP 6626. RNAcentral's name for it is "Glycine". It matches the Rfam family "Glycine riboswitch aptamer". Rfam says of the family: This family represents the bacterial glycine riboswitch. Glycine riboswitches usually consist of two metabolite-binding aptamers domains with similar structures in tandem. The record is from RNAcentral. Lineage: Bacteria; Pseudomonadati; Pseudomonadota; Alphaproteobacteria; Hyphomicrobiales; Rhizobiaceae.
UAUCGAGCAGCGGGAGAGACCGAUUUCUCCCGACAUCGGCGCCGACGGAGCAACCACCCCGGAAACUCUCAGGCAAAAGGACCGCUGCAAGAUC